RNAcentral lists this ribosomal RNA (433 nucleotides) under uncultured bacterium. RNAcentral describes it as "partial 16S ribosomal RNA". It matches the Rfam family "Bacterial small subunit ribosomal RNA", at positions 29 to 507 of the family's 1533-position model. The record is from RNAcentral.
AACGAACGCUGGCGGCAUGCCUAACACAUGCAAGUCGAACGAGACCUUCGGGUCUAGUGGCGCACGGGUGCGUAACGCCUGGGAACUUGCCCUUAGGUUCGGAAUAACUCCCCGAAAGGGGUGCUAAUACCGGAUAAUGUCUUCGGACCAAAGAUUUAUUGCCUUUGGAUGGGCCUGCGUUGGAUUAGCUAGUUGGUAGGGUAAAAGCCUAGCAAGGCGACGAUCCAUAGCUGGUCUGAGAGGAUGAUCCGCCACACUGGGACUGAGACACGGCCCAGACUCCUACGGAGAGCAGCAGUGGGGAAUAUUGGACGAUGGGCGAAAGCCUAAUCCAGCAAUGCCGGGUGAGUGAUGAAGGCGUUAGGGUUGUAAAGCUCUUUUACCCGGGAUGAUAAUGACAGUACCGGGAGAAUAAGCUCCGGCUAACUCCGUG